ACCCCUUUGUCAGGCUGAGGAAGUACUUGCAGUUGGUCCUGGAUGGAAGGAAUAGUAAAGAAGCCAGAGGCUGGCCUGGUCCGCAAUGCAGGUGAUCCAGAGUAACUGACCACAAGAGCAGAUCCAGGAGGGGUUCAGUGGUGCAGUCACCCCCAGCUUUGUCUGUGUCAUACAUGCACAGUGAGCUGGACUGCCCCGUGCCCCUGGACAAGCCGCCCAGGCUCCGAUUGUCCCACCACCGAGCCUGGCUGGGGCCCCAUUCACCCCAGCCCCUGCUUCUGCCUCUGCCCCAUGCCCUCCUUCACCGCUAAGGCCUUGAUCUGCCCUCCCCAUGGGCCUUCCCCCUCCCCUGACCCCUUUCCCCACAGACUGACCUGCUGGGCAGACGGGGUGGGGGCGCGGGACAUGUGUGCUCAGCUCCCCCAAAUAAUUUUUGUCCCUCUGCCUAUGGGUGGCUUCUGCCACUGCAUGCACUCCUGGGCAAGUAUGGGGCAUGUGCCCUACAGAUCUGUGCAUGGGAUGAGGGUGGGCUGCCACUGUGAGCUUUGCCUUGGGCACUAAACUUUGUUGCUAUAGCACUGCCUGGGGCCUUUCCCAUUGUACUGCAUGGCUGCUUCACAAUGGGGAUAACAUGUACCCCUUUGACCAAAGGCUUACAAGCAUAUCUGCUGUGGGACUUAUGAUGACUUUCAGGUCCCUGGAAUCGUACAUGUUGAGAAUCCUCCUUUCUAGUUUACAGCAUAGAAGUCAGCAUCCAGAGUGGCUGAAGUUGUUUUUCAGCCUGUACGGGAGCAUUCAUCACUUUCAAUGACAGCUUGCCCCUUGUUUUGUACAUUUUGCAGAUGUUACUAGUUGGCUUGAAGGGGCAAGAAGCACGUGUUGAGAGCCAAUUUUUGCCAUUGGCUAUUUCAGAAGUUUGAAAAUUCUUGUUAAAAAAGCCUCGAGCCUUAAGAUAGCUUCAUCUUCUCUGAUCUAAAACAGUAAAGUAUUGCCUGCCAGCUCAGCUUUGGAAGGGACUCAAUUGCCCUCAAGGCAAGCAGAUUCCAGAAGAAGCCAACAUACUGUAUCAUCCAUAGGGCUACUCCCUGCCCUGAAUAAAUGCUCUGUGAGCAACUAAGAAUAAUACCUGUUUUGAGUGGAGCUCCAUGAAGAUUAAACAUGCAUAUUUACUGCCUGAAUUUGGGUACAGAAAACAAUAUGCUGAGGUGCAGGUAUCUUUCUUGCUUGCUCUUUUUCCACUGUUUCAUACUCAGUGGCCACGUCUACAUGAGAUGCUGACUGUGCAGUAGCUUGCUAAUACUGCUCAGUAGCUUGUUUCUACUGCACAGUAGCAUCGCAUGGCAUGAAGCAUGACGUGACACUACUGUGCAGUAAUAACAAGCUGCUGCUCAGUAUUACCAGCUACUGCGCAGUCAGCAUCACCAAAAAGCUGUUCAAGGACACUACUGCACAGUAAAACCAGUUACUGCACAGUCAUUUAGUACUUGUGUAUGCAAGUAUUAAAUGACUGCGCAGUAACAAGUGCGCAGUCAACAUCUUGUGUAGACGUGGCCAGUUAUUACAUGUUUCAGCACAGCCCAGUCAGCCCAUUUGUCAAACGAGACAGGGAUACCAGUGGUGCAUAAUGUCAGAAUGAUGUGUUUGGGAUCAGAAGGCUUUUUCUUUUCAUGUACUAAGUACCUCGUACAUUUGGCUGUAUUGAAAAAAAAAUGGGAUAUUGGUUCAGUCCAGUAUAAGUUCUGAUUCAGGAAAGCAUGUGCACGUGCUGAACUGGAGAUGAAUGUCAGUUGUGAUACUUGGGUUUGCUAAGUGCCUCAUUUCAAAAGCUCUCCAUGCUGUUUCCUCUUUGCCCCCUGAAUUCUACCUGCCACCUUCUCAGUCUGAUCUCAGCCUUGUCAAAACCUAUCAUCUCCUUAAAAAAAGAAGUUGCAGAAUAAUUAAUUUGUUGUGUGCACAUGUAUGUACAUGUGUGCCCAUGCACUAAUACACAGCUGAAAUUAAUAAAAAAUGCAACAUAUUUUAAUCAGAGAUAUAACAGGCCAGUACUAUGCCCUGGGCAUCCUGGAUCCCUGUCUUCUACCUCCCUUGGCAGCACAUGGGGCUAAUGCCCUGCUCACCUACUCAUCCUUACACUACUGAUUGUAAUAUACUCUUAGAAAGUUAUUUUAUGAGAAAAUAUGAGGAUGGGAGGGUUUCAGAGUAGAAGGAGAAAGCUUGGAUAAUUAACAUUAUAUAAGAUAUACCUUUAAAAAUGAAACCUUUAAUUCAUGGACAGCAAGUCAUAAUUUCCUCUUACAAUUUCCCUUAACAAAACACAGUUACAACAUAGAGGGAAUUACAGUUGUUGAAUGCAUUCCACAAGAAGGUUAUAUGAAGCCACUCACUGUUUGGUGAAGGGUUAGUAAACAUGUACUUUACAUUGAUUAAUAAAGUAACUAGGGAUGUAAAGAAAUCUCACAUUUGGCCAGCACCCAGAAAAACACAGCUUGCUCCCUAGCAAGUACAGCUAAGCCCCAUUGCUUCCUGGAAGUGCAUCUGACUGGAUGGAUUUUUUUGUCCCUUGAGGAGCAGAAUAUGAUAUUUUGAAAGAAGAAAGGAAACAUUUGACACCUCAGCUCCUUUUGGUGCUUUGAACCCACCGCUGCAAAGCAGAGGGGUGGGUAGCCACAUUAGUUUGAAGUCAGGCAGAAGGUGUGGCAGGGUGCCACUUUAAAGACUAACUAGUUCAGAGGCACGACUUCAUCACAGGUUAGGAAUUUACUUCCAUAUCAGAAAUCUCCUUUUCAUCUUCCUUGCCCCCUGGAUUUUCCCCAGUGUGGCAACACAAUGCUGCCAGAGUGGUAGGUGAGGUUUUUGGCUCUAUAUCCUUAGGUGAGUUUGGGAAAACAGGGCCAUGAUAAUUUUGGUUAAAAGCCAAAAGUAUGAUUUGGAUCAAAGCUGUGUACACAUUUCUCCACACAGUUCUAUCAAUGUACCUAAUUUCUGGAUUUCAGUUAGUACUGUUUUAACACCAAGUUAGUGUUGAGUUUAAAAUCAAAACUGUCAAUAAUAAGCUAUGGUCUACACACAAAUAAUAUCAAGGGGACUAUCAAACUCAUGUAAUCCUUGCUUAAAUCUAGAUCCAAACAGAGGUUACCAACUAAAUCCACAUGCAUGCACUGCAGAAAGUAUUGUGCACAGAAGUUUAACCUUUUGUUUUAGUUCAGUAAAUAUCUUUUACCAGCAUACUGUAGAUUGCAAACAUUGACAUGUAUUUUGUUGCCAGCAAUGAGUAAUCUGGUAUGCAGUCUGACUGUUUUCCCCCUUUAUUAACAAACAGGCCUAACAAAAAAUUGGAGCACUGCUUAAUGCAGUUAAUUUUACGAUUUCUUUGUCAGCUAGGCAUUUUUAUUUUUCUUGGGAUGGAAAGAAGUUACCCUGUGCUAGGUAUCAGACAGUCUAUUACCUGCUGGAACAAAUGCAGUCUUCUUCAUUAUGUUUUUUUGGAGAUUUCUGAAACCCUUUUUCAAAAAGGGUUUUUGGAAACCCCCCCUUUUUUAAUGCAAAGUUUAUUAAACUCAAUGUUGUUGCUUU
Alligator mississippiensis (American alligator) is the source of this 3573-nucleotide long non-coding RNA. RefSeq lists it as uncharacterized. The record is from RefSeq and is a predicted model, not a curated record. The transcript has 2 exons. NCBI's taxonomy places the organism in Eukaryota, Metazoa, Chordata, Crocodylia, Alligatoridae.